UGAUGUUAGCGGCGGACGGGUGAGUAACACGUGGGUAACCUACCUAUAAGACUGGGAUAACUCCGGGAAACCGGGGCUAAUACCGGAUAAUAUAUUGAACCGCAGGGUUCAAUGUUGAAAGACGGUUUCGGCUGUCACUUAUAGAUGGACCCGCGCCGUAUUAGCUAGUUGGUAAGGUAACGGCUUACCAAGGCAACGAUACGUAGCCGACCUGAGAGGGUGAUCGGCCACACUGGAACUGAGACACGGUCCAGACUCCUACGGGAGGCAGCAGUAGGGAAUCUUCCGCAAUGGGCGAAAGCCUGACGGAGCAACGCCGCGUGAGUGAUGAAGGUCUUAGGAUCGUAAAACUCUGUUGUUAGGGAAGAACAAAUUUGUUAGUAACUGAACAAGUCUUGACGGUACCUAACCAGAAAGCCACGGCUAACUACGUGCCAGCAGCCGCGGUAAUACGUAGGUGGCAAGCGUUAUCCGGAAUUAUUGGGCGUAAAGCGCGCGUAGGCGGUUUCUUAAGUCUGAUGUGAAAGCCCACGGCUCAACCGUGGAGGGUCAUUGGAAACUGGGGAACUUGAGUGCAGAAGAGGAGAGUGGAAUUCCAUGUGUAGCGGUGAAAUGCGCAGAGAUAUGGAGGAACACCAGUGGCGAAAGCGGCUCUCUGGUCUGUAACUGACGCUGAUGUGCGAAAGCGUGGGGAUCAAACAGGAUUAGAUACCCUGGUAGUCCACGCCGUAAACGAUGAGUGCUAAGUGUUAGGGGUUUCCGCCCCUUAGUGCUGCAGCUAACGCAUUAAGCACUCCGCCUGGGGAGUACGACCGCAAGGUUGAAACUCAAAGG
This 834-nucleotide ribosomal RNA is filed under the name Mammaliicoccus lentus. RNAcentral's name for it is "bacterial SSU rRNA". It matches the Rfam family "Bacterial small subunit ribosomal RNA", at positions 87 to 907 of the family's 1533-position model. The record is from RNAcentral. Lineage: Bacteria; Bacillati; Bacillota; Bacilli; Caryophanales; Staphylococcaceae.